GCCCGUCUUAUCAACGAUCGUACGAUUUUGGAAAUCUUAGCGUACGAUUUUGAUCUACGAUUGUCGUACGCUCGAUCGUAAGACUGUCUUAUCAACGCGGUCGUACGUUCAACCUAAAAUCUUACAAUUUUCAUAAGCGUACGAUUCUUACGCCUGCGCACUAACACAUACUCUUCAAAAAAGGAGGUAACGCGCAUUUUAAUGUCAUAAUUGAAAUACGACGUGUGCUACAAUUCAGCGAUGUCUGACAAGGCAAGAAAAGUUAAUUGGACAACUGAUGAGCGUGAUAUGCUCAUUAGCAAAUGUGAAAAUGCUGAUGUGGCCACCGGCAAGUUUUCACAGACACUUACGGCCGCGGACAAAGCCCGGUUUUGGGCGAAUGUAGUGGAAAGAAAAUAAUGAUCCUGGCCUUACCAUCCCAGACCUUCCUGUUGGAAGUGAGACAAACUCUUUGGGAAGAAAGGAAAUUUUGCAGGAUAAAGGAUUUGAAGGUGAUAAUGAGUCAGUGCCAAAGAAGGCAAAAUAUGACAAGAAAACAGAGGAUGACAUAUAUCAACUUGUUGAACAACAGACUGCAAUUAUGACAGAAUUGAAUUCAACAUUAAAACAUUAAAUCAGUCUUUAGAUGGCAUAAAAAAAAGAUAAGACAAACUUAUUUAAAAUUCUAACACGACAUGUAUGUUUCCCUUAUGAACUCAGAAGAACCGAAAUUGUGUGUUAUAAUGGUCAUAAAAUCAAUGUUUACAUUCUUAAUUUGGACAUUUGAUGAAACCAUUAAAAAUUUUACGAGCUGAAUAUUUAAUAUGGUAACUUUACAGGCAAAAGUUAGCUUAAUAUCGGGUACUGCAGCAUUUAUUAAAUGACAUGUGUUAGGAUUGAAAUAAUAUAUCUCAAUCAGUAAAUUUAACCAUUGAUAAAUUAAAAUCAAUGUUUGUCCUUCAGAUGUGCAGCAUUAUAUCAACGGGGCUUUGCCCCGUGAUGUUAUUUCUUACAUCUGGACUCGAACAGUGUUUUUUUUAGCACAAAAAUCAAAAUUUAGGAUAUAUUAUUUCUUAAUCAUUAAUUUAUAGUCAUUGUAAAAUUUUCAUUUAAGCACCCACCCUCCCUAACAUAGUGUUGGUGUCUAUUUUUAUCAGGAAACACUUCUGUCCUAUCUGUAUUUUGAAUUGUUUUAACCAUGUUUGUUUUGAAGUAACAGUUGAGCAAUUAUGAUAGUUGCAAGAGUUAAGUCCUUUUUAAACUUAGAAUUUUAGGCAAUUUAGAAUUUUUAACAU
Molecule: long non-coding RNA, 1274 nt
Organism: Ruditapes philippinarum (Manila clam)
Lineage: Eukaryota; Metazoa; Mollusca; Bivalvia; Venerida; Veneridae
Exons: 5
Source: RefSeq, a predicted model, not a curated record